GAUGAACGCUGGCGGCAUGCUUUACACAUGCAAGUCGGACGGGAAGUGGUGUUUCCCGUGGCGGACGGGUGAGUAACGCGUAAGAACCUGCCCUUGGGAGGGGAACAACAGCUGGAAACGGCUGCUAAUACCCCGUAGGCUGAGGAGCGAAAGGAGGAAUCCGCCCAAGGAGGGGCUCGCGUCUGAUUAACUAGUUGGUGAGGUAAUAGCUUACCAAGGCCGUGAUCAGUAGCUGGUCCGAGAGGAUGAUCAGCCACACUGGGACUGAGACAAGGCCCAGACUCCUACGGGAGGCAGCAGUGGGGAAUGUUCCGCAAUGGGCGAAAGCCUGACGGAGCAAUGCCGCGUGGAGGUAAAAGGCCUACGGGUCAUGAACUUCUUUUCCUGGAGAAGAAACAAUGACGGUAGCUGGGGAAUAAGCAUCGGCUAACUCUGUG
RNAcentral lists this ribosomal RNA (437 nucleotides) under uncultured bacterium. Its description in RNAcentral is "partial 16S ribosomal RNA". It matches the Rfam family "Bacterial small subunit ribosomal RNA", at positions 28 to 507 of the family's 1533-position model. The record is from RNAcentral.